Long non-coding RNA from Panthera uncia (snow leopard), 8732 nucleotides. RefSeq lists it as uncharacterized. NCBI's taxonomy places the organism in Eukaryota, Metazoa, Chordata, Mammalia, Carnivora, Felidae. The transcript is spliced from 5 exons. The record is from RefSeq and is a predicted model, not a curated record.
UCACCGCCCCGGGGAGCGGGAGGGGGCUCGCGAGAAGGUCGCGAGCUCGCAGACGGCCUGCGCCCGCCCGUGCGAGCCGGCCGGCCCGCCUUGGGGCGAGAAGGGAGCCGCUCUCUCCGCAGACCUCGCCAGAUGCGGCCAUUGUUAAGUCAGCCGGCUGUCAGCGCGCGAGGACCCCGGGGCACGAGCAACGCCCCCUCCCCGCCUGGCCUGUGCGCGGCCCCCACCGCAGGUGGAGGGGAGGCCGGGGCACCCGACCCCCGUGAGUCCUACAGCGGCAGGCCCGGCCCCGCAGCAGUGGUCCAUUCUCCCUGCCCUUCCCCCUGGAAGUGGGGCCGUCUUUCGACUUCUGGCGACCUACGACUCAUCCGUGUGUGCCAGGCGCUGAGGCCCUGCCCUGCCCGCCCUGUGGAGCCUACACCCUGGUUCUGGGCAGCACACAAGAGCAAGGCACGGAAUAAAUGCACGCAUUUCUGCAGGACGUGGUCCAAGGUGCUGGAAACUUCCUAGCAAGACAUUCGCCAGCCUUGGGACCUCAAGGCUGAACAGACUUUGCAGAGCCACUCGAGGGAGAGAAGGAAAAUGUGCUUCCCACUCCCUGACCCCUCUCCACGCCUUGGGCAAAAUUUCCCAGAGCCACCACGGUGUUCUUGGUCAGUGAAGGGAGGAGCAGGCACCCAGGUGGCAGUCCCAGGCAGUUGAAAAUCCACAUAGGCAGGAGGGGUGAGGCUGGUCCCCGCUGGGUCUCCCUGCCUCACUUCCCCGGUACAGUCUACUGUCUACAAGUAACCACGUCAAUCCUUGUUCACUCUGACCUCACCUUUUCAAGUCAUUCCAGGGAAGUAGCCACAUUCCAAAAGCUACGAUAGGAGAAAGGAAAAUAAUAUGGAAAUCAGGGCAAGUCAACACGUUUGCCUCCUAUUGGUUAAUUAGGUUCCUUGGAGCAGAAAGAUCUUGGGACCUUAUGGCGCUGAGGUUCCUCCAGGGCAGCCCCACCAGGAUGUGAAACCUCCAAGCUGUGGUGUCAAGCUGACCUUCGUUCCAGUCCCAGCUCUGGCCAGCUCUGUGACCUUGGCCCUUCACCCAACCGUUCCAAGCCUCAGUUUCCUCAUCUAUAAAAGGAAACCAGGAAUCCUGCUCCCGGCAGCUAGCAGAGAUGCUAACCGGCCCUGGACAGCUGGGGAAAUUGAACCACAAGUCACGAUCGAGGUCCCCCAGCUCCUGACCGCCUUCUCGUCCCUUUUUUGCUCUGCCGUUUGCUGUUUAAUGUGUGUACUGGACAGCGUAUGGAUUAGGGUGUCCUUGUAAUAGACGGAAAAGAACAAGCAGAGACUCCCGGUGGAGAAGGCCGUGUAAAGACAGAAGCAGAGAUUUGGAGCCAGGGGUCGCCUGGAGUCACCAGGAGCUAGAAGAGGCAGGAAAGAUCUUCCCCUGCAGUCUCUGGAGGGAGUGUAGCCGUGGGACACCUUGACUUUGGACCUCUGAUUGCGGGAGAACACUUCCGUCGUGUUAAGCCCCAAGCUGUUUGCUGUGGCCACUCCAGGACAGUCUUACAAGUCUCAUUUCCCCUCAUCCGUACUCCAGCUCAGUUUAAUCCAGCUCAGUGGAUAAUAAACCACUACCCUGCGGGAGCACACCCCACAAAAGGUUUGGGGGCCUCCAAGAAGAAUGACACCCAGCUCCUCGACUUUAAGGAACAGACGCCUGGACUCCUGUUCUGGAAGCCGAUGGCCGCCCAUCUGUGGGAGCUUUCUAUCAGCACACAGUUCCCUUCCCCAGGAAACAGCCAGGAGCCUCCUGGAGACUAAAGUGGACGGUGACCUGCCAGUCCCUCUGAAUGCUAGAAAUGCUGUCUCUUGGGGCUGGCCUUGCGGCUGUGGUUUUCUCAGCCAGCUGCUGCCCAGGGCUCCUUCCCUAAAACAGCCUCCAGCCCCAAGCUGUUUGGAGCUGGUCCCUUUCCCUGACUUCAGAUGGAAAGGUCAUCGUGGGCCCAGGGCCAUGCAAGUUUAUACGCGUUGGAACCAGAUUCUGACCUGAGUCAGUUGCCCAGAAUCUGCCCCUCCCGGAGGAAAGCGUAAAGAAGGCAGUUCUGCUUAUCCUGGACCUUGCACCGGGCUGAAACCCGACCUGCCUCCUCCAGAUCCCCCACGUGUUUCCGGGAAGUACGAGCAGGGCUAAAGCGGAGGAACUGGAUUGCUUCCCAGUGCCAUCCCGAUCAAGGCUUCACCGCCUGGCUUGAAGUCUCAAGAUACAGACCACACCCAGACUCAAGUCGGGCUGAAAAACACAUUUCGAGGGCAGGGACAGCUUUCCACGUGGACAUCUGUACGGAACUCUCAGAACCAUCCCUGGCUGUGAAAUACGGGCUGCACCGGCCACCCUGCGUUCCCGGCCAUCAGCUUCCCCAGCAGCCUUUCUGUUUGUUUGGAACAGUUUCUCGGGGUCUCCUAGAGAGAAGAUUCUCAGCUGAGUUCCGGCAAACGGCCACGCUACCCCACCCCCUGCUUGGAGGGAUCCCAGCAGCUCCCUUGGCUGCCCAGCGAAGAAGAAGAAAUGAUGUCAGGAGUGUUUCUCUCUUGAGGAAGCUGGAGACUCCUUGCAGCAGGACGAGAGGACACUAUCAAAGGGGAUGUAGGGGGGCUUGCCAAAGCAUCCUUGCACGGUGCCGUGGAAACAUCCGUUUCCUCUGUCUGCCUGGAGAGGGGCUGGGUCAGCUGGGCUGGUGGUCUCAGUCUUGGUUCUCUCAGCCUGAUUGUGCUCAUUUAUGUCACAAAACACGCACGUGGCUCAGGACCAAGGGGGCUGGGAGCCCCAGCUCUAGACUUUGGGUAGACACGAGGGGCCCUUUCUAGGCUCCACAUCAAGGCUUCCCCUCCUGGCGAGCACAGAGGUGGCGCUGUCCUUCGAUGCCCUGUGGCACUGACAAGCAGGGCCCAUGGUGAGCUUAGUGUCCACAGAAGACGCUGAAGGGCCUCCGCUCUGGAAUCGUGUGACCGGAGCUUGAAUCCGGGCUCCAUCGCAUAGAGGCUGUGCGGCCUCAGGAAAACUGCCCAGUCGGAGUCUCGGUUUCCCAACCAGCAGAACGGUGGUGGCAAGGUUCCUGCCUCCACAGGUGGUCGUGAGAGCAGAAAGGGUCCCAGUUGGAGGGCGUUCCGCACAGGUCAGUCCGGACACACGGAGGGGAGAUCGGAAGCAGGAGCCACCGCUAUUUCAGUCACCUGACUAUGAAAUCGAAAGAUCGGACAGUACAGAAAACGUCAAGGGAGAAGAAACCCCAAAGUGUUCACAGCCCCAGUCCCCGGAGACACGCGCUGCUAGCUUUCGUUAGGUGUCCCUCCAGCCUGUUUCUACGUGUGCGUGUGUGUUUCGUGGGCUCAGAUCACUGCUGAAUGAGCACAGCCUGUGUCUGUAUAUGCGUGCUAGUUUUUCUUAAGACCCGGCAUGAUGUUGCUUAACCCACUUCUUUUAAACUUAAAAACGUAUCAAGACCAUUUCCUGCAAAUCAUUACAUUUUACCAUGUUGCAUAUUUUCCCACACUUUGAUGUUUCUGAAAUAGGGAUGUGUUUUAGAAUCGUUGUCAAAAGAAACAUCCCAGCUACUUCUCUCUUUUUCUCCCCUGAAGGGGGUUAUGAGAUAGGCGAUCCGUGUGACAAAUGACAGCGUCUCAGACUCCAAAAAGCAUGGCGUUCUGAAAGAUGCCUUCUUACAGGCCACGUGGUUCUCUUUGGUGCCUUUGCCAUAAUUAACUUAAUUGACCUCCAGUUUUGGACAUUUUAGCUCCUUCUGGUUUCCUGCCAUUAUCAACAAUGCUGCAAAAGAGAACGUACGGCAGGAAAUCCAUUCAAGUGGGUCACUGACCCUACAGGGCAGAAGCUGGAUGGAGAGGUCAAGGUCACAGCCAGCCUCCAGUGACCUUCUAGGGAGGAAGGUCGGAGACGAGUGGCUCCUUCGUGGCCGGGGUGCGGAGAGGCCCCGGGUCAGAGGGGUGAUGCCCCGCGCAGCCGUCCCGUUGACUCGCCGCGCUGGCUUUGGGCUGGGGCUUUCCCUUCCCCACGCGGAACAGAAGGCUCAGAGAGAGGCCCCUUGUCAGCGCCAGGCACAGCUCGCUCAGAGUCCACGUGCUCCGAGGCAAGAGAGGAGAGGCUUUCUCCUUUUCUGGAGUUCCGUCUCAUGCCUACGUUUCGGGUAGGAUGCUAUUUUUAAGCGCCUGGCACAGUGGAUUUGUACACCCCAGGGGAGGAGGGGGACUCGACGCAGGGCAGGGCUGGGCAGGCAGCAGGCAUGGGCGCGGGCAGGGGGGCUGCAUUUGCUCUGCUCUAACAAUGAGCCGCGGCGGCUGUCACACCCACAGCCGGCAUUAAUCACUUCCUGCCUUGCCUUCCCCAGCAGCUCUGACACAGGAGGCCACGCCCCGCUUCUGGAAAGCGCCCCGCUCAGACUGUGAGGGUGCUUCCAGGCCACGCUUGCUUCCUUCGUCGGGUCCGUGCCCCACCCCCCCACGUGUCCCUUUUGCCCGGCUCUGGAGACCGCAUGGGCUCCGGCCACCACCACAAGCGGGUAAAGCGUUUUGCAGGCUUUGAGGCGAGGCUGCACCCGCUCGGAACGUUGGCAGUUGUGUGGAGCAGGCCACGCGGGGCUGGGCGUGAUGCCCAGCUGGGUCAGUCUGUCACCCAGGGUUUUGGGGUUGCGAGCAACAGAAAUCGACUCUUGCUGGCCGGGGUUCAGGGGAGGGGGUUACUGGGUGGAGACGGGCUAGUUUACAGAACAGAAGGGGAAGGUGGAUGAUGGAUUAAGGCUCAGACAGGAGCCGCACAGCGCCCAGGAUCCAGGAGUGAGAUCAAUAACCGCCUGGGGGGAGAGGAGGUCAGGGUGCGGUGCGGGCCCGUUUGCUCCAUUUUGCACAUGAGCGACUGAGAGCUGGAAAGGAAGGGACUUGCACAGGGCCAGGUGGCUCGCUGGAGGCACAGCCAGUCCUGUGUAGCGGGACCAGGUCCAUGAAGACGAGGGCCCCCGCCAGGGCCCACCCUGGAAAGCUCGCGGGUGUCACAGCAGGAGCUCCUAUCCUGGGGCUCCUUCACCUCCCAGAUCUUGACCCCUCAGGCCACACAUUGCUUAUUUUGGAUUGGCAGGCAGCCCACGCCCGAGGCGGAAGGAGGGGGGUUGCUCAGGCAGGACCGGGGUGUGACUCACUUCUGUCUGCCCAGCCAAGUACCAAACAGAGAGGCUGGCAAACAGGAGCCAGUCCACAGCCACUAACCAGCAACCGAAACCCUGCUCAGAGUGGCCAGGCCUCGACUUACACAGAGGUCACCAAAGGAUGGCCUUGGCAGGACGCCAGUCCUUGCCUCUCUGCUGACCACCCUCGAGCCCAGUCGCCAGCAUCUGCUGCCGUGAUGGGCCCCUCCCCUCCUUGUUCUGGCCACGGGACAGGCUCGAUGGCCUUCCCUCCCCACACAGAGUCAAGCAUGCGGUCCACCUCGCCUAGAAGGCCCUGCCCCGGUUUCCUCCCAGCCCCACCAGCUUGGCAUGAAAGAAUUCGGGCUCUGCAGUCAGAAAACCACAUGUCUGUCUUCACAGCUUCCUGGUGUGGAUCUUGGGCAAGUUGUGUGGCUUCUCUCUGCCUCAGUUUCCUCCUUUGUAACACGAGCCCUCCCUUGCAGGAUUCCUGUAAAGAUUGGGAGUAAGGUGGGCGAACACCAGUGCUUGGCACAGGAUAGACGCCGGCUACAGUGCUCACUCUCCGCCCGAGGCCUGGCAUCUCCCUGCAGGACCGACCAGCCUGGAGGAAUGUUCCAGGCCCCGGGGUUGCUCUCUCUUGUGCUGACAGUCACCUUGAUCUGGGUCAUUUGGAUAGCACUUUCCAGAUGCUAGCCUGCAUUGCACUCGUGGCAAAAGGGAACAUUUUGGCUGCUUAAACCCAAGCCAAACAAAAAAACUGACUGUCAUCAUUCUUGCCCUCUAAGGGGAGUGGCAAAUUCGUACUGGGGAUGCUGGCCUGGGGACUUUGGUUAGCCAAGAGCAGAGGAAAACAUGUCAUUUCAAAGCACCAGCUAGUCCUUCAUGCUGCUGACGGCUGGAGUCCUGCCUUAGCCAAGCAUUUUAGUGCUUCCUGUCUGUAUGUUACUCGGUACUCUCUUGGCUGCAAGUGAUGGAGAUUCAGUGUGAAUCUCUAAAGCAAAAAUGAUGUUCAUUGGCUCACUGACUGGAAAAGACAAUCUCCCCGUGAGUCAAGCUUCAGGUACGGCUGGAUCCAGGGGCUCUCCUUCUCUCUGCUCUGCUUUGCUCUGUGUCGGCCUCGUUUUGUAGAUACCCAGGCACACAUCCCAUCCCACAUGCCCUCAUAAAAUGUGACAUUAAGGGCCCCCAGGUGGCUCAGUGGGUUAAGCAGUUAAGCGUCCAACUUCAGCUCAGGUCAUGAUCUCACAGUUUGUGAGUACAAGCCUCUCGUCGGGCUCUCUGCUGUCAGCAUGGAGCCUGCUUGGGAUUCUCUGUCUCCCUCUCUCUCUGCCCCUCCCCCGCUCACUCUCUGUCUCAUUCUCUCCCUCAAAAAUAAAUAAACAUUUAAAAAAUAAGUAAAAUAAAAUGUGACGUUAACACACUUCCAGCAGGAGGUAGGGUUUGUGGUCUCUCCUCUUGACCUUGAACUUCCCUUUGAACUUCCACAACCAGUAGAAAGUGGUGGAAGUUACAUGUGAUUCCAGAGACUAGGUCUUAAGAGGCAUGUAGCUUCCAGCUGCCUUGCUCUCUUUGGGGACACUCGCCCUUGGCAAGCAGCAACCAUGCUGUACGGAAGCCUGUACCAGGCUGGCUUUCGAGGGGAGACCACAGAAAGAGGCCCGUGUGGAAAAGGACCUGAGGGCCCCGCCGACAGGAGCUAGGCUGGGCCUGCAGUUAACUCCGGACUCCAGCUUUUGAGACUUGCAGUCGAGGCCCCGGACGUUGUGGAGAAGCAAGGUCCACACCGUGUUUAGUCUUGACCCACCAAAUCCAUAAGUGUAGUAAACGGUUGACUUCUGUCAGUAGGUCUAGGGUAUUUUGUUGCAUCGCCGUAGCAGCUGCAGUAGAUUUCAUGAUCCCUACAGCUCAAACUCUCAGCUGAGGAGUGCCAGAUCUGCCCUCCGCCAACACCCAGCAUCCGUUCGUAGUCAAGAUGCAGAUUAAUUCCGCUCGGGCACGAGUCUUCUCUCUAUGUGGUUGUUGUGGCCGGAGGGGUGAGGAGUCCUGGUUGCUUAGGCUCAGUCGCGAGCCACGCUCCGGCCUGGCGAAGGAUGGGUACAAAGAUGGCCUGGUCAGGACCACCGGGAGUGGGCCAGCGGUGGCUCAGGAAGGAAAAUUGGGAUGCGGCCAUUGGAUGAAACAGGGAACCGUUCUGGAAUAUACAGGCAGGUCCGCAGCUCCCUUAUGAAUUGCUCUCCUUACCAAGAAAGCGAUUUCUUUGUUAAGGUGUAUGUGGCGGGUCGCUGGGGAGAGGAACCCAGAAAAAAGAGUUUUUCCUACCAUACUUUGGUAGGAUUUGGAGAAAGCAGAACGCCAAGAUAUGCGAACUGAUACCUGAGGUACCUGUGUCUCACCUGCGUGAGGACCUGACUUUUUCCAGGGCCUGCUCUGUGCUUAGCAUUGUGUUUGGUGUUUUGUCUACACACUCGCUUAGUGAGCACAAAAGUCCUGGAGGGCCAGGACUGAGCCUCCAGGACAGCAGCUGGCAUGUAAUGGCCUGUAGUAAUUAGGAUUGCCUCUUGGCUGCUAGAAUGGGGGCCAAAAUAGCGGCGGAUUAAACAAGGGAGAAGUUUUUUCCUUUCACAACUGCCCAAGACGAAACAAUUCAGGCUAAUAUGACAACUCUAGGUGAUGUUUUUAUCUUGUUGCUCUGUCGGGGCAACUGGCUGGCUCAGUCUGUAGAGCAUGCAACGCUUGAUCUCAGGGUUGUGACUUCGAGCCCCACGUUGGGUGUAGAGAUCACUUAAAAAUAAAAUCUCAGGGGCAUCCAGGUGGCUCAGUCGGAGAAGCGUCCGACCUCAGCUCAGGUCAUGAUCUCGCGGUCAGUGAGUUCAGGCCCUGCGUCGGGCUCUGUGCUGAUGGCUCAGAGCCUGGAGCUGCUUCAGAUUCUGCAUCUCCCUGUCUCUCUGCCCCUCCCCCACUCGCACUCUGUCUCUUUCUCUCUCUCUCUCUCUCUCAAAACUAAAUGAACAUUAAAAAAAAUUUUUUUAAAUAAAAUCUUAAAAAAGAAAAGUCAUUAUCUUGUUUCUCUGCCAACCCCAAUAUGUAGUUUCUAUGCUGAGAUCUAAGCCAGCUGCUCCAGCUCCUGCCAGUGCGCCUGCAUUCCAGCCAGGGCAAAGAGGGAAGAAACGGGACGUAAAGGGCACCCCCUCUUCCUUGUAAGGACAAGGUCCAGAAGGUUUACUCAUGUCUUCUGCUUAUAUCCCAUUGGCCGGAACUUAGUCACAUGGCCCCAGCUAGCUGCUAGGGAGGCUGGGAAAUGUAGUUCUUAGCCAGUGACCAUGUGCCCACUGAAACUCAAGGUUUGUAGUGCUAAAGAAGAGAGAGAAUGGCUACUGAGUGAUAGCCAGGAGACUCAGCCUAAGACACUCAGCUGUAGAGCUGGUAGUAUUCCCUGUGGGAGAUGCAGUGUGGCCGGAGAGCCAACCUUCCAACGGCUUUCAUCUUGGCUCUGCUCUUUACUAGUGGUGUGACCUUAGUCGCGAUUGUCUCAGCCAUAAAGUAGGGGCGACAA